CCGAGUUUACAACUCCCAAACCCCUGUGAACAUACCUAUACGUUGCCCCGGCGCUGGCGGUCCGGAAGGCCCUCGGGCCCCCCGGAUCCUCGGGUCUCCCGCUCGCGGGAGGCUGCCCGCCGGAGUGCCGAAACCAAACUCUUGAUAUUUUAUGUCUCUCUGAGUAAACUUUUAAAUAAGUCA
This 183-nucleotide unclassified non-coding RNA is filed under the name soil metagenome. Its description in RNAcentral is "partial internal transcribed spacer 1". The record is from RNAcentral.